UACGAAGGAUUCGAGCGUUAUCCGGAUUUAUUGGGUUUAAAGGGUGCGUAGGUGGUCUAAUAAGUCAGUGGUGAAAGCCCGCAGCUUAACUGCGGAACUGCCAUUGAUACUGUUAGUCUUGAGUACAGUUGAGGUGGGAGGAAUGUGUCAUGUAGCGGUGAAAUGCUUAGAUAUGACACAGAACACCGAUUGCGAAGGCAGCUCACUAAGCUGUAACUGACACUGAGGCACGAAAGUGUGGGUAGCAAACAGG
RNAcentral lists this ribosomal RNA (253 nucleotides) under uncultured bacterium. RNAcentral's name for it is "partial 16S ribosomal RNA". It matches the Rfam family "Bacterial small subunit ribosomal RNA", at positions 524 to 776 of the family's 1533-position model. The record is from RNAcentral.